CUCCGCGGGCGGGCGGGCGGACAUGGCGGCCAACAUGUACCGGGUCGGAGAUUAUGUCUACUUUGAGAAUUCCUCCAGUAACCCGUAUCUAAUCAGAAGGAUAGAAGAACUCAACAAGACUGCAACUGGCAACGUGGAAGCAAAAGUAGUGUGCUUUUAUAGACGACGAGAUAUUUCGAACACGCUUAUAAUGCUUGCAGACAAGCAUGCUAAAGAAAUUGAGGAAGAAUCGGAAACCACAAUUGAAGCCGACUUAACGGAUAAACAGAAGCAUCAGCUAAAACAUAGGGAGCUCUUCUUGUCUCGCCAGUAUGAAUCUCUGCCUGCAACGCAUAUCAGGGGAAAAUGCAGUGUUGCCCUUCUGAAUGAGACAGAGUCAGUAUUGUCGUAUCUUGAUAAAGAGGACACCUUUUUCUACUCAUUGGUCUAUGACCCUUCAGUGAAAACACUGUUAGCUGACAAAGGUGAAAUCAGAGUGGGGCCUAGAUAUCAAGCAGACAUUCCAGAGAUGCUCUUAGAAGGAGAGUCAGAUGAGAGGGAACAGUCCAAAUUGGAAGUUAAAGUUUGGGAUCCAAAUAGCCCACUUACGGAUCGACAGAUUGACCAGUUCUUAGUUGUAGCACGUGCCGUGGGGACAUUCGCUCGAGCCCUUGAUUGUAGCAGUUCUGUGAGGCAGCCAAGUCUGCAUAUGAGCGCAGCUGCGGCGUCUCGAGACAUCACCCUGUUUCACGCUAUGGAUACAUUGUAUAGGCACAGCUAUGAUUUGAGCAGUGCAAUUAGUGUCUUAGUACCACUUGGAGGACCUGUGUUAUGCAGAGAUGAAAUGGAAGAGUGGUCAGCCUCUGAAGCUAGUUUAUUUGAAGAGGCACUGGAAAAAUAUGGCAAAGACUUCAAUGACAUACGUCAAGACUUUCUCCCUUGGAAAUCAUUGACUAGCAUCAUUGAAUAUUAUUACAUGUGGAAAACUACUGACAGAUACGUGCAGCAGAAACGUCUAAAAGCAGCAGAAGCCGAGAGUAAACUGAAGCAAGUGUAUAUCCCAACUUACAGCAAACCAAAUCCCAACCAAAUAUCUGCCAGCAAUGGCAAACCUGGUGCUGUGAAUGGAGCCGUGGGGACCACAUUCCAGCCACAGAAUCCCCUCCUAGGGCGAGCCUGUGAGAGCUGCUACGCUACACAGUCUCAUCAGUGGUAUUCUUGGGGCCCACCUAAUAUGCAGUGUAGAUUGUGUGCAACCUGUUGGCUCUAUUGGAAAAAAUACGGAGGCCUGAAAAUGCCCACCCAGUCAGAGGAAGAGAAGUUAUUGCCCAGCCCAACGACAGAGGACCCCCGUGUUAGGAGUCACAUGUCUCGCCAGGCCAUGCAGGGGAUGCCAGUCCGAAACACGGGGAGCCCAAAGUCUGCAGUGAAGACUCGCCAAGCUUUCUUCCUUCACACUACGUAUUUCACAAAAUUUGCUCGUCAGGUCUGCAAAAAUACCCUCCGGCUGCGGCAGGCAGCAAGACGGCCGUUUGUUCCUAUUAAUUAUGCUGCCAUUAGGGCAGAAUAUGCAGACAGACAUGCCGAGCUAUCUGGAAGUCCACUGAAAAGCAAAAGCACUAGGAAACCUUUGGCAUGUAUCAUUGGGUAUUUAGAGAUCCAUCCUUCGAAGAAACCUAAUGUAAUUCGAACUACGCCAAGCCUGCAGACCCCCACUACCAAGCGGAUGCUAGCCACCCCGAAUCACACGUCUCUGAGCAUUUUGGGGAAAAGAAACUACAGUCAUCACAAUGGCCUGGAUGAAAGGCUCAUGAAGUGAAGGCCCAGCUCUGUUCCAUCCUGCAGACCUUCCUCAGGAUGGCGGGAGGCUGUGAAGAACUCACGUGCUGCGUGUCGGACUGAGCUAACCCUAUUUCAUACUAUAAGCCAAGACUCGCUACACUGUCCUGCUGAUGUUCGCAGUCGUGCCUGGGAAGGAGGCAGCCCCAUUUCCAGCACAUUUCAGUGGGAGACCUACACAUGUGCCCCCUGGAGACUCGGUGGGGCAGGGGAAGAAACUGUGGGAGUGCACGUCCCCAAAGCCGCGUCUCAAUGUGUGAAUCCGUGUCACCUCGCUUUCCUCUCAGAGACUUCACUGUCCCAUAGCGGGACCUACCUGAAAAUGGAGGGGACAAGGGGGCCCUCAGUCUCCUCCUUCUCCAGCACUCCAUUCCCAGGCACCGCGGCUCCUCGGGCAGCGGAGCGCCUGGGAGCUCAGAGCUGCUGCUGCCCUGCAUGCGUCAGCUCAGCCCUAUUGUCAGCGCCAUGACGGUCUACAGGAGGGACAUGGCCGCUUUCUGAAUGGAUUUUUCUUAAGAAAAGUGCCAGUGUUUAUGCAGUUCAUGAUAUCCCCCUCUCCUUACCAUUACUGUCACUUGGCUUUUUCUCAAUAGGCUUCAUCUUCGUUUUUUUUUUUUUUAAUGAGGAAGUUUUGCUGUCACCCCUCUGUCCUAUAUUUGGCUUCCCCUCCUCUACCCUUCCUAGGUACAGAAUUAUGAGAUUCUGACAAAAAAAAAAAAAAAAUAAGAAAAUCAUCUUCGGUAAGCCUGCGAACUCUUCAUAUCAUCUGUAUUUUAUUGUUGGAGAGAGGCUGGUGUUCUACUAGGUGCUGCCCGGUCCCAGACAGCCCAAGCAAAAGCAGGUGUUGAAACCGAGCUGAGUGUCUAUCACUGUGACAAGCCAUUCGCGUACUGCCCUGUUCCCUGACAGCCAAGCCAGCCGCCGAGCAACCACCGCCAGGUUAGUCCUUCAACGAGUCGCAAAUCACCCAGGUUUAUUUUAAGCAGAUGAAAUCUGUUUGGCCUCGGAGGGUGAAAUGAGAGAUGUGUGUUUGCAGGUGAGUGUGUAUAUAUGACACCACGAGCCCCCCCACCCUUCCAGUCCAGACAUUUCUGUGAACACACAUGCCUAGGCCCCGGGAGAUGUGCCUGUGACCCAGUUUUCACUGGCUUUGGGCUCUUCCUGUCUGCCCUCAGCACCAGCCCUUGCUGGCCGCACAGGCUGGCCAUUCUGCAGCUCUGUGCACACAGCUUCAGGCGUGUGAAUAACUUAGUGCCCCCACAACUCCCCUGAGCAGAUAGGAGCCUGGCCACUCCCUUGUCCUCCAUUUGCAGGGACAGGCCGCAGGGCACAGGCUCACAGCACCGUGAAAGGAAACCGGAGUCUGGCCUUAGAGCUGUCCCUGGGGUCUGUAGCCGGAUGGCCAAACAGCCAGGUGGUCGCAGGACAGAAUGACUACCAUUGAGUUGACACUCCCCAGCCCCCCAC
Molecule: RNA transcript, 3285 nt
Organism: Neogale vison (American mink)
Lineage: Eukaryota; Metazoa; Chordata; Mammalia; Carnivora; Mustelidae
Gene: MTA3
Gene name: metastasis associated 1 family member 3
Exons: 18
Source: RefSeq, a predicted model, not a curated record